Molecule: unclassified non-coding RNA, 2283 nt
Filed under: Centruroides sculpturatus (bark scorpion)
Lineage: Eukaryota; Metazoa; Arthropoda; Arachnida; Scorpiones; Buthidae
Description: uncharacterized LOC111633767, transcript variant X1
Source: RNAcentral
GAUGACGUCAGGUAACCGCUUUUAAAAUGGCAUCGGAUAAAUGAAAUAUUACGAAAUUUAAUAAAAAAUUGCGCUGUCGGUCAAUCGGAAAAUUCGUCGGAAAAUACUCGACGAACGAGAGGAAGGAUUUGUUCUAGUUUUGGGGGGUGGCGAGGUAAAGAUGACGUUCGAUUAUAGAAAAUCUCGCUUCUAACCCCUCGUGGAGAAUGGAAACCGAAGAUGGAGAGUGGUAGGGAGUCUGUCGAUCCCAAUCCGUCGUCACUCGGGGGAUAGAAACGUAAAAAUUGCCGAUAUUUAGCCUUAAAAUUCAAAAAGAACCCAUGACGUCAAUCGCAUUCGAAUUCGUUAGGCGCUUUCUAAUCUCCAUAGAAACGGCAACAAUUGCCGUUUCUAUGGAAACGCGUAUUGUUGCAACACGAUUUUGCGUCACUUUGCACGUUUUUCGCUUGCCGGACGGACGUGUGCGCUCUGUGCUCUGGUUUUUGCUGUGUUUUUUGCUUUUUUCAGUGUUUUUUGCUACCGGAACGUGGUUUUAAGAAGACUUGUGGACGCCGACAUUACACCAAGUAAGAUUUUAAUUAGAAUUUAGCUAGCUUUAAGAUUUUAUUUUCGUUUCGUUUAGUGCAACUUCGGAGACGACAUCGGCCGACUCGGACUUUGCAUAUUUGCGUUUAAAUCUGCCGUCGCUUGUGUUUUUCGUUCGAAUUACCAUCCGAAACGCAUCUAUUUCGACUUUUAAACCAGCCGCCACAUUCGAAAGCGACCGAAUCGCCGAAAACGACGGAUGCAAAGGAUUAAGUAUUUGUUUAUUGGUUUAUUUUCGUAAUUAAUUAAUUUAGAUUAUAUUUUAUAAAAAGGUCAAAGAAUAAGAUAUUUGCAAAUAAUCCUUAUAGAAAUUUAAUUAAAACUUAUUUAAUACUGACUUUAAAUACGAAUUCCAUCGUAAAGCGUAUCGUAAUUUUAAGUAAAAUACACUCUCGAAAUAUUGUCCGAUGGACGGAGACCGUAUUCUGAAGCAUGGGAUGUUCCUUCGACGGGCAAAAAUUUCGCCCUUUAACCUCCGACUUCUCCAUUGAAUCUAUGUAUUAGUUACAAUGCUUUUCAAUGGCUUACUUUGCGAGAAUUAUCUUGUCUGCAGCUAAAACACAUCUAAUACACUUAACAGUUAUCUAUACAGGCUUGACACAAAGAAUUCUUUUUCUUAAGCUGUUUGUCUCUUUUCACAAUGUGGUCAUUUCUGAGUGCAGUCCAUCUUCCACACUUACGUAACCCUCUGUAAAUGCUUUGUGCCACUUAAACGUUCGUGUCCCGAAUUGCGAGUUCGGCUGUUGACACGUUUCGCUUCUUCGUACAGUACGUUUGUGUUGUGUUUUCUUCGACUCGUUCGAAAUUUCUUUGCACGAAACUCUUUUAAAUGCCGUCGUUGCGUUUAUGUGACGUACCGUUUGUAUGCACGUUAGGGUAAAUUGCUCUAGAACGAAACACUUGUUACGACUUGGGCUCGAGAUCGAGUACGAGUGCCUUUUUCGCAUGGCUACGUGCGGCGUGUUUUUAAUUUUCUGUCGUACAAAUACAAAUUACACGUAAGAGAGUUUCUUGGUUCUGGGUCGGUCGUCUCUACUGUAAAUAUAGUUUGAACUUUCUAGCAAUUUCCGGUAGGAUCUAACGCGAGCUAUCCGAAUUCCGAUCCGUCAAUGAAGAGCUGGCGGUUUUGGCGUUGGCUGCGGCCCAAGAAGAUGAAGAAGUGUGAAGGGCGUUCUCCUUCCGCAAUCGAUGAAGAGAGGGUCUUUUCCCCCUUUGAGCGGGGAGAGGAACUCUCUUCCAUCGAUUGCGGAAGGGGUUCUUCCUUCACGGGAUCGCCUUCGGGAAUAGCGGAUGUCGACAGCAUUCUCUGUUCCGCGUUGAACGGAGAGGAGACAUUUCGCCAUUCGGACGUGUUCCGAAAGGUGAAAUGUCUCCAUGUUGACGACAUCAUCUUUGACGCACUGGGAGGGGAGGAAUGUUUCGAUCAUUCCUCCCUUUUCCAACGAGUGGGAUCCUCUCGUUCGGUGUGGGCAAAGAUGGAAAGGAAAAAGCGUCGCUUCGUAAGAGAAGUGAACGACUUUUUCCUUUGCUAUUUCUGAAGGAUAUUACUAACCUAGGAUAAGAAGGCAAGAGGUUUUUUUCGUUUGUUUUUUCCUCUUGUCAUACUAACAACAUUUAAAUUUAAGGUUUUAGUUUCAAUUUACUAACGUAGGAUAAGAAGGCAAGAGGUUUUUUUCGUUUGUUUUUUCCUCUUGUCAU